This 467-nucleotide ribosomal RNA is filed under the name uncultured bacterium. RNAcentral's name for it is "partial 16S ribosomal RNA". It matches the Rfam family "Bacterial small subunit ribosomal RNA", at positions 28 to 507 of the family's 1533-position model. The record is from RNAcentral.
GAUGAACGCUGGCGGCGCGCCUAACACAUGCAAGUCGAACGAUUAAAGCACCUUCGGGUGUGUAUAAAGUGGCGAACGGCUGAGUAACACGUGGGCAACCUGCCCCUUUCAUUGGGAUAGCCACGGGAAACCGUGGAUAAUACCGAAUACUUCGAGACUUCCGCAUGGAAGACUCGAGAAAGCUCCGGCGGAGAGGGAUGGGCCCGCGGCCUGUUAGCUUGUUGGUGGGGUAACGGCCUACCAAGGCAAUGAUGGGUAGCUGGGUUGAGAGACCGACCAGCCAGAUUGGGACUGAGACACGGCCCAGACUCCUACGGGAGGCAGCAGUGGGGAAUCUUGCACAAUGGGCGAAAGCCUGAUGCAGCGACGCCGCGUGCGGGAUGAAGGCCUUCGGGUUGUAAACCGCUUUCAGCAGGGACGAGUCGAAAGUGACGGUACCUGCAGAAGAAGCCCCGGCUAACUACGUG